AGGUGGUUAAGUUUUUUUGUGAUUUGGGGUCUGAGCCUUCAACCUGGACCAUUUGUGUGGGAAGAGAUGGGAAAGGUAUGUUAUCUGUGUAAUUCCUUGGUGUUUGAGAAGAUGACAUGACACCUCAGUCAUUUUGCUCUGUACUAUUGUGCCUAUGUAACUAUGAUAACCAUGGCUGCUAUUUCCUUGGACCAACAUUGAGUAUGUGUUUUCCCAGGCUCUUCAGGUCUUAUGAAAGGGUGAUGCUCUAUCCCCUGAAGUCCCAAAUUAUUCUGAUGUGAGGCAAUCAUUCUUAUUUGGAUUGUGACCACCUGUGCUGCUUUGCCACAUGCCAUUUUCCAAAAGCUUUACCAACUGGAGAUUGGGUAAGAGGAACACAGGCUGGCCAGUGUUUGGAUUUCAGCAACCCAUGACCUUGGAAGCCUCAUGGACAAACUUAUGGAACAGGGGCUCCAUUUCAAAACAUGGGUACAAAAAUCAAUUUCUCCAAAUUGAAAUGUACUGAGAGUACCCAAGAACUCUCAGGACAAGUGGUCGCUAGGCAUAGCACUUUCUGUGUGGGGUCCAUGGAUUUCCUAUAUGUCAUGCUUGAGUUCUGGGAAAGAUGAAACUUAAAGCUCCCUACUUUAUAAUUCUAGUCUUCAGGCCCAGUGCAGACACAGAAUAAAUAUGUCUCUUCCUUAAGGCCUGUCAUAUAAUACCUGUCUGUGGGACUCAGGGAAAAGGCAAAUAAAGUUUUUUUUUUUUUCUCUUUGACUCUUAUAACCUAGAAACGUAACUGAAGAAACUGUCUGCCUCUUCAGUUUCCUGUACACUUCAAAAUCCAUGUGGAAAUAUCCUGACCUGAGUACAUUUUUGCUCUUCUUUGUCUUGCCAUUAAUGGUACUGGUGGUUGUCUAUGGUCAUGUGGCCUAGAAGCUGUGGAUCCAUAAUGAUGUGGGAAACAAAGGCAGAAGAAAAAUUAUUAAAUUUUCUUUCUACCUAUAGCCCAUUGACAAGUCCUUGAAACAGGCAAAGUGACAUCCUCUAGGGAUUCAACUGCCUUAAUGUUAAUACUUUGCUAAGAGCAAAAGGCAAUCCUAGCCUGACCUCUCCC
This is a long non-coding RNA of Leptonychotes weddellii (Weddell seal), 1096 nucleotides long. RefSeq lists it as uncharacterized. NCBI's taxonomy places the organism in Eukaryota, Metazoa, Chordata, Mammalia, Carnivora, Phocidae. The record is from RefSeq and is a predicted model, not a curated record.